This 253-nucleotide ribosomal RNA is filed under the name uncultured bacterium. RNAcentral describes it as "partial 16S ribosomal RNA". It matches the Rfam family "Bacterial small subunit ribosomal RNA", at positions 524 to 776 of the family's 1533-position model. The record is from RNAcentral.
UACGUAGGGUGCGAGCGUUAAUCGGAAUUACUGGGCGUAAAGCGUGCGUAGGCGGUCCCGCAAGUCCGCUGUGAAAGCCCCGAGCUUAACUUGGGAACUGCAGUGGAAACUAUGGGACUUGAAUCCGGCAGAGGGGGGUGGAAUGCCACGUGUAGCAGUGAAAUGCGUAGAUAUCUGGAGGAACACCGGUGGCGAAGGCGGGUCUCUGGGCAGUAACUGACGCUGAGGAGCGAAAGCGUGGGGAGCGAACAGG